Oncorhynchus keta (chum salmon) is the source of this 3691-nucleotide long non-coding RNA. RefSeq lists it as uncharacterized. The transcript is spliced from 16 exons. The record is from RefSeq and is a predicted model, not a curated record. Lineage: Eukaryota; Metazoa; Chordata; Actinopteri; Salmoniformes; Salmonidae.
CGUUUGACGAUGACCUAACGCUUUUACGCGUUGGCUAAUAAACAACACUUUCGAAGAUGAUUUUGCAACGCAGUUGAACUUUAGCUAAUUCAUUUUAUUUAUUUGUUUAGCUAACGCAUCAUAAAGAAAAACAAUGUAGAAUGCGAAAACGGGUAUAUUUGUUCUGCUAUAAAGUUUCUGGUGCUAGCUAGCUAAGCACAACAACUGGAUGGCCUUUAUUUUCAUGUGUGUUUUUCAGCCAGUGCUGACCAGCGAACUCAUCAUUUCGCAUGUCAACAUCCCUGGAUUUUCUAAGGAUGAAGAGAAAAGUGUCUCGAUUACGGUUAAGUCCAAAUGAAGAAGCGCCAAUCAUUCGAGAGGAACACGAAAGGAGAAGGAAGCUGCGAAUAGAACAGAAGCCUGACUGUGGCAAUUGCACAGAAAAAUGAGGAGAAUAACGUUCGGGCAGAUGAACGCUAUCGACUCGCCAUCAAAGCGCUCAAAUCUCAGAGACAGAAAAGGGAGGAACAAAAUCGUCUUAUUGAGGCUAGGAAGAAGGCCAUACAAGUGGAGAAGGAGAGGGCAGCAAAAGUGGCCAACCUCCCACCCCUUCCACCCAACCCAAUUGAGAAUAUUGAGUCAAGGAAGCUACUUGGAGUGAAGAAAUUGGACGUGGAUGCCUUCUUAUCACAUGCCAGAGACUACAGUGGACAGGGAAGUUGACACAGCACAGCCAAAGGCAUGGGAGGAGGUGUGGUGCCUGCAGGAGCUAGGACAGGAGGUGCUUAGGGGCAACCACGUGCUGAGGAGGGAACGGCUCACACAGGUACAUACUUCUACACAAUCACGCUCAACUUGUUGAAGACUAUUCAAGUGAUAACAUGGCAGAAAAGUUAAUGUACAACUUUCUGCAUUACGAGGCUAAAUCUGUCCUGAGCUGUUAAAGGAAUGCCUGAAAUCCUUUCAAUGCAUAUUGUAUGCGUCAAGACCAAGACAACAGCAAUACUUAUGUUUUUCUGCUGUGUCAGGACCGAGAGCGCCUCCUAAUAUAUAAUAAUAAUAUAUGCCAUUUAGCAGACGCUUUUAUCCAAAGCGACUUACAGUCAUGUGUGCAUACAUUCUCCUGGUGGAGCUGGAGCGCAUGCAUCAGACAGACCUGUUGAGGUGAAUGCAUUUGAUGACUCAGAUGCCUGCCCAGAUCUUCCAGCUGCUCUCCAAGAGACAGGAGAUGAGGGAGGACUGGCAGAGGGACAUGGAGUUCACCUUUGAGGACAUGUACACUGGAGAGAGGAGUGAGGAGUGAAAUGUGACCUGGUACUGCAGCUGGUCCCAGAGCCUCUCCCAGCUGUGUCCACUGGCAGCCAGGAUGUAGACCUAGACCUGGAGGAGGCCACUCCUGACCUUACACCCUCGGCUGGGGCAGAGGAACAACUGGAUGAAGAACCAUCCAGGCCUCUAGGUGGUGCUCCCAUAAAGGCCUUGAGGAAACUACUGACCCGCGUCAGGUCACAGAGAGACCAGUGGGGCUACCGGAGGCUGGUUGACCCCACGUCUGACUGCCAAACUAUUCAGACAGCGGAGUUCUACUUGACCUCAGAUGGUACGACUAGUCAGGUUUUCUGGCCAGCGAAAAGCGGGGCCGACCGUUGACCACUAGUCCCAGACUCCGUGACCCCUCUCAGCCAGCCCAAGCUAUAGAGACAACAGAGGAGUACAUCAUAGCUGGUACCCUGCUCCAUCCUGAUAAACAAGCCAUCAAAAUCCACACAUUUGAAACAGAGGGGAAGAGAAGGUAUCCUAUUUUAGGGAAUUUCCAAACAGCAGCCUCUUACAAUUCCCCUUCCUCCCACCCACGUCCCUCUGCAGUGAUAGAGGGGUCAGUGUUUGAGGAGCCCAGCUUUUCUGUGUCCCAGCAACAGCAGAAGCCCUGGUCAAAGCAACUGCAGGAGAAUGAGGGACCAGACAGGUCACCUGUGUGGGGGUCCGACCCACACACUCUCCCCUUGGACACAGAGUCAGGAGCUCCGAGGCACGACCAAGUGGGUUCAUUCACAACCCUCACACUCUAUUCAAUGGCAAUAUGGGAUCAGAGUAAAUACUCAAAUUUUGAUGUUUUAGUAUCGACAUUGACUCUAUAUAUAUUCAGGAAUGGGACACUGUCAACCAAGGCAGGACUCUACUAUCAGCCCAAUGAUUGGCCAGCCCUUGGAUAAGUCAUCCUCACCGGGCCAUGGGUGGGACUUUUAGCCAAAUUAUUGGCCAGCUCUCGGGUCAAUCAACCUCACUGGACCAAGGGUGGGAUUCGACUUUGAGCAGAAUGAUUGGCGGACUCUCCAAUCAGUCAACCUCUGAGCCAGCUGAUUGGUCAGAUUCGACUGGACCAGUCAUCCCAGUGGCUGGAUAAAGGCCAGGAUGAGAGCCAGAUGAUGGGGCCUCUGGUUGGAGAGCUGGAUGAGUCUGCUGCCCAAUGGAGUGGGAGCUCAGGAGCUGAUGGGUCUAACUCCCUAGGCUGGGUGCAUCUGAGAGGCUCAGGCCAGACAGGAGUGUCAUCUCACCAAGAGGGAGCCCCUGAAGCCCAUUCACAGAGCAGCUCCUUUCCCCCUGGACUAGAACCUCUGCCACACUACCAGUGCCUGCAGUGCUCUGCCACCAGUUUCCAGGAAGUAGACAGGACUGGGGGUGGGCAGUGUGAAGGGGAUAAUGGACGAUUCCAUGCUGACCCUGGUGAGCCUGACAGACACUACAUUAAAGGACCAUGGACUUGCUGAGGAAGGAGAGAUGGAUGAGGUAUCAGACCAAGAAGGCAUUGUGGAGAAGGAAUCCGAGUGGACAGUGUUGCCAGAGGAGGAUGCCAGCCUACAGGAGGAAGAGACAACCCCCUCUCAUGCAGUGAUGCUGCUGGAGUUCCAGUCGUGUCCCAGCAUGAAUCUAGAGGAGGCCUUCCAGCAGAAACGCAGAGCCCUGAUCCAGAGGUCUGCCUGCAGGGUGGAGGAGAUUCAGGCCAAGAUGGCUGAAGCCAAAGCAAACACCAGGGCCCAGUCUGAAACCACAGACCAGGGCCAACACAACCACCAGGGCCUAGUCUGACCCAACCACUGUUCAGUCAUCCACUACUAAACCCAGGAGAGAGGGGAGGAGUGCAGAGUCAACCCAUGCAGGAGUGGAUGCCAAGCAGAUAAAGCAUUAGCCAAAGCUCCAAACUCCCUUGCAGCCUCCCUUGCUAGCCAAGCUGAAGAAGGUUGGGGAGGUGAGGAUCAGCACUCCUGAGAUGAGGAAACAGGAUGUGGCUGACAUGCGCCAGAGAACAGAGAGGUUGUACAGCUGACUAGAUGAGGUGAAGCUUCAGGAGGUCAGGAGCAGACAGGAGGCAUAUGCCAAAGAGUUUCGCCAGAAGCUACGGGCCAAGCAGUUUCCGCAAUGGUACUGAAUAUCAGUUUUAUCUGUUGUGUGUUCUGUUUGCACUUAUUUUGUACUUCCAUGUGUAUUUGUACAGUUUAAUCAGUAAUGUAAAAUAUAUUUUAAAAGUGUGUAUAUAAUCUACAUUCAGUGUAUUCAUCACAAUUUACUACUGUGUUCACACAACAAAAGCAGCCAGUGCACUAUUGCACCUUGAAUACUGUAGGUACACACAUUGCAUUAUGAGAAUGUUAUGUUGCCUGUAAAAAUAUUUUUGUUUUAGGUUUUUAUAGCCAAUAAAGUUGCUUUUUGCUGA